Otolemur garnettii (small-eared galago) is the source of this 104-nucleotide small nucleolar RNA. The record is from Ensembl. Lineage: Eukaryota; Metazoa; Chordata; Mammalia; Primates; Galagidae.
AUUCUUCUGUAGUUCAUAAGUGUGACAACUGGGUUUUCAUGAGCAUGCAUGAGGUGUACCUCCCACAAGUCUCGUUAUGACACUGGCACAUUACCUGUCUGACG